GAAUCGCUAGUAAUCGCGAAUCAGCAUGUCGCGGUGAAUACGUUCCCGGGUCUUGUACACACCGCCCGUCACACCAUGGGAGUCGGUAACGCCCGAAGUCAGUGACCCAACCGGAAGGAGGGAGCUGCCGAAGGCGGGACUGGUAACUGGGGUGAAGUCGUAACAAGGUAUC
Molecule: ribosomal RNA, 172 nt
Filed under: uncultured bacterium
Lineage: Bacteria
Description: partial 16S ribosomal RNA
Rfam family: Bacterial small subunit ribosomal RNA
Source: RNAcentral